RNAcentral lists this unclassified non-coding RNA (274 nucleotides) under Hevea brasiliensis (rubber tree). The record is from RNAcentral. Lineage: Eukaryota; Viridiplantae; Streptophyta; Magnoliopsida; Malpighiales; Euphorbiaceae.
UUCAUUCGGCGAAAGUGCAUCGACGAUAUGAUAAAAUAUAUUGAGGAGGAUGUAGAAGCGGCGCUUGCACGAGGAGAAACAGGGGAGUUGGUGGUAUCUCACUAUGUCUUUGUCAUGGCAUUUAACCUGAUAGGCAACCUCGUUAUUUCGCAGGAUCUUUUGAAUUCUCAUUCGAAAGAGGGGCCUGAGUUCUUUGAAGCCAUGGACAAGGUCAUGGAGUGGAGUGGGAAGCCAAACUUAGCUGACUUCUUGCCAUUUUUGAAGGGGUUGGAUC